This 399-nucleotide unclassified non-coding RNA is filed under the name soil metagenome. RNAcentral describes it as "partial contains 5.8S ribosomal RNA, internal transcribed spacer 2, and large subunit ribosomal RNA". The stretch from base 5 to 121 matches the Rfam family "5.8S ribosomal RNA", at positions 40 to 154 of the family's 154-position model. The record is from RNAcentral.
GAUGAGAACGCAGCGAAAUGCGAUACUUGGUGUGAAUUGCAGAAUCCCGUGAACCAUCGAGUCUUUGAACGCAAGUUGCGCCUCAAGCCAUUAGGUUGAGGGCACGUCUGCCUGGGCGUCACAUAUCGUUGCCUGAUGCCAGUUUCCUCGUGCUGGGUGACUGUGCAGGGCGAAUGAUGGCUUCCCGUGAGCAUUGUUGCCUCAUGGUUGGUUGAAAAUUGAGUCCUUGGUAGGGAGCGCCGUGAUAGAUGGUGGUUGAGUGACGAACGAGACCCAAUCAUGUGAGACCCCUACCGAAUUUGGCCUUCAUGACCCACAUGCGUCUUUGGAACGCUCAUGACGAGACCUCAGGUCAGGCGGGGCUACCCGCUGAGUUUAAGCAUAUCAAUAAGCGGAGGA